Molecule: long non-coding RNA, 19597 nt
Organism: Loxodonta africana (African savanna elephant)
Lineage: Eukaryota; Metazoa; Chordata; Mammalia; Proboscidea; Elephantidae
Exons: 7
Source: RefSeq, a predicted model, not a curated record
AAACCCAAAAAGAACAGAAAGAAAAACCGCAGUGCAGUUCACUCUCUGGCUCAGGAAAUUCCAAUGUUAAUGAAGUUGUCUGGGAAGGGGAGGGGAGGGUUCAGGUAAAUAGGAGAGAGUAGCACCCCAGAAUAUAGACAAAGUUACUUAUCUUGCUGGGGAUGACUGUUUUAUGUGAGAUUCCCGAGGGGCGUGUCGACUGUGUGCCCGGGCUGGGUAGAGAUUGCCCCCGAGGGUCAGGCCCGCGUCCUGUGCUUGUGCUGUCUCAGAAGCCGUGGUCAGUUCCUCUGCUCCCAGUCCAAAGUCCAGUGCCAAGAUUCCCCGGCUGGGACGCCACACCCCUGGCUCCAAAACCAGUCGCUGCCUCCCGGCAACUUCUCCUCCUUUCAGCUGCGUUGCUGCGCUGCCUGCGUGCACUGGCUGGGCUUCCCCCGAGGUCAGUUCAGGGGGCUAGGACUGUGCCCCGUGUUUGCGCUGUCUUAGGAUGCCGUGCUCAGCUCCCCUGCGCCUAGUCCAAAGCGCGGCGCCAAGGUUUUCUGACUGGGACGCUGGCUCCAGGCUCUGAAAACAGUCGCUGCUUCCCCGUGGUUGUUCGUUCUCAGUCUCUGUCACUCAGGUCAACUCUUUAGAUCUGUGUUUGAUAGGGUUCGUAGAUUGUCAUGUGUGUGAUCGAUUCACUUGUUUUUCCAAGUCUUUGUUGCAAGAGGGAUCCGAGGUAGCUUCUACCUCGUCAGCCAUCUUGGCCCCCUGGUCUAAUUUUUAAAUUUUUUAUGGGAAUAAUUUCAAAUUUACAGAAAAUGUACAAGAAAAGCACGAAGAACACCCAUAUACACCCUGGUCAGAUUUACUUAGUGUUAAUAUAUUUUCACAUUGCUAAUAUUUACAUAUUGUUAACAUUUAAAUGUUUUAACAUUUGAUAACUCUUCCCCUCUCUCCCUCUCUCCAAAUACACAACAAAUUUUUCCUGUCGUUUGAGAGUUAGUUGCAUACAUCAUUGUCGUAGUACCUCAGGGUGUAUUGGAUAAAAAUAGGGAUAUUCUCUUACAUAACACAGUACAUUUAUUGACAUCAGUAAAUUUAACAUUGAUAUUAACACUUUAAUCUAUGGUCCAUUUUCCAAUUUUGACAAUUUACUCAGUAAUGCCCUUGAUAGCAUUAUUUCCCCUCCAGUACAGGAUUCAUUCAAGGAUCAUAUAUUCAUUCAAUCAAGAGUUACGACUCUUUCAUAUUUUUUAGCUGGAAGAGUUCCUCAGCCUUUUAUGACUUCAAAUUUUUUUAAGACUACAGUCCCCUUCUUUUAAGUAGAAUGUUCCCCAUUUUGGGUUUGUCAGAUAUUUCUCCAAGAUUAAAUUCAGGAAGGAUGCCUGAUAGGAAUACUACAGGUAGUCCCCGACUUAUAACAUAUUCAAGCUGCGAUGAACCACACUUAAUGAAUGUCUUUUUUUGUUUUUUGUACAUCUUAUCAGUAAUAUGUAUUACAUACAAUGUUAAAAUAUAUCUUAAGUUUAUAUGUAAUGUUUCCAACCCCCGAAGACAAAGAAAUGGAUUUACAGAUACCGAUAAUAAAAGGCAAUAAUAAUGAAAACUAAAAAAAAAAAAAAAAGCCUUUAACUUAUAUCAGAUCCAACUUAUGAUGGAGUCAUCCAGACGGAACCCUGCUGUAAGUCAGAGAUUACCUGUCCAUAAGUGAUGUGUCCUUAAAGCAUUACAUCUGGAGGCAUGUGAUUUCUUUGUUCGUUCUUCUUUGGUGAUGAUCAAGGUGUGGUCCAGUUUCUCAAUGAUAUGUUUACUGUAUUUUCUCCUUGCAUUUAAUAAGCAAUCUUAAAUGAUGAGCUUUUUAAGACAAUGCAAAUAUCUUACAUCUCAUCAAAAUUGUUCUAGAUUUAACAGCCACUGGCAUUUCUUAUGAUAUUCCAAAGAUUUAGAUUUUAUAAUUUAAAUCACGGAAUGUCAUAAAUCUAAUAUGAAAUCUAAUCAUUUUGUUCACACGUAGAGUCAUAUUCUAGUGAUGAAAAUCAUUAUAGAGCUGCUUACACUUAGCCACCAAAAGACAGACUGUCAUCUAAGAAGUCUAUUGUUGCUAGUUAAAAUUUAUCAAUUGAAAAAAAUCAGCUAUCCAUCUGUCUUAGUUACCUAGUGCUGCUAUAACAGAAAUACAAGUGGAUGGCUUUAACAAUGAGAAAUUUAUUUUCUCAGUCUAGUAGGCUAGAAGUCCAAAUUCAGGGUGUCAGGUCCAGGGGAUGGCUUUUUCUCUCUGUCGGCUCUGGAGAAGGUCUUUCUUAUCAAUCUUCCCUUGGACUAGGAGCUUCUCCACACAGGAACCCUGGGUCCAAAGGACAUAGUCUGCUCCCGUUGCUGCUGCUUUCUUGGUGGUAUGUGGUCCCCCUGUCUCUCCUCUGCUCGCUUCUCUCUUUUAUAUCUCAAAAGAGAUUGGCUCAAGACACAAUCCAGUAUUGUAGAUUGAGUCCUGCCUCACUAAUGUAACUACCGCGUACCCCACCUCGUUAACAUCAUAGAGGUAGGAUUUACAACACAUAGGAAGAUCACAUCAGAUGACAAAAUGGUGGGGAAUCACUCAAUACUAGGAAUCGUGGGCUGACCAGAUUGAUACACAUAUAUUUGAGGGACACAACUCAGUCCAUGACAACAUCACAGAACAGUUUAAAGCAUUUUAAUAAAUUCUUGCUUUGUAAACUUAAAAGUUUUCCUUUGGUGGCCCAGUUUAAACAGCAUAUUGCCUAUUUUUUUUUUUUUUUUUAAAUCUUGUUAGAAAUACACAUUAAACGAAGCUUUGAAGAUAGACUUUUCCUGAAAAAGAAUACCUAAGCAUUGGGUCUAAACACAGAAAAGUUUCCAAUUUUUUUUUGGUUGUGUUAGGAUACUUUUAACAUGGUGUUUGAGAUUUCUUGAUGUCUUUUGCCCUAGGUAUUUCUUUUUGUGAUAAUUCAACUUCAUCAAUACCAAAACCAAAACCAAACCCAGUCCCGUCGAGUCGAUUCCGACCCAUAGUGACCAUAUAGUGACCCUAUAGGACAGAGUAGAACUGCCCCGUAGAGUUUCCAAGGAGCGCCUGGCGGAUUUGAACUGCCGACCCUUUGGUUAGCAGCUGUAGCACUUCAACACUACACCACCAGGGUUUCCACUUCCUCCAUAUUUCAUGUUAAUUGUCACAUUCUUCCAUCUGUGCCUUUUUCUUUCACGCUGACGCUUCUCCUCUGCUAACAUUUUCCUGUCACAUCUGGCUACAAGGAAGAGAAACCAAAGCUGUAGAGGUCAGAGGUCCUUGUCAGAGGCCUUAUUUUAAUGGAAACGUCACUUGUGUCAAAGAAUUUGAAUGGUGUUUGGAGUCAGUUCUUCAGGGAGAAGUGUGUAUAUUAUUCUUUUUAACUUAGUUCAUAGUACGCUGAGUAAUUUUCUAACUGCAUCAAGGUGAAUAAACAUGCAGUCGUAUGCUUUGUGAUAAUGUAAUUUAAGAAAUGAAGCAAGUGUUUAUAGGGUGCCUACUGUGUACUUGACACUGUGCUAUUUUAGUUGUAUAGUAUUCAUUCCCACAAAAAGCUUAAGUCUUUUGGGGGAUAUAAGGCAAUCACAAGAAAUAUUAGAUAAUACAGCACCACUGAGUACCACUAGCUUAGGGGUUCAAAUAGGGCUACCACUUUGAAAGGGCUGUGCUUUAAAAUCAUUCCCAGAGUGUGUUAUUUAUCAAUUGCUGUGUAACAAACAGUCUCAAAAUUUAGCAGCUUAAAACAACAAACAAUUAUUAUCUAACAAUGUUUCGAGGGUCUGAAAUAUAGGAGUGGCUUAGCUGGGUGAUUUUGGCUUAGCGUUUCUUCUUGAGGUUGCAGCAAGUUGUUGGCCAGGCUUGACUGGGAUCAGAAAAUCUGCUUUCAAGUUCCCCAUGUUGUUGUUGGCAGGCCUCAGUUCUAUUAUGACUGUUGUCUGGAGAUUUCAGCUCCUCAAUGUGGGGACCUCCACAUAGGGCUGCUCACAACAGGACAGCUUACCUCCCCCAGAAUGAGUGAUCUAAGGGAGAGAGAGAGUGAUUGCCCAAGGUGGAAGCCGCAGUGUUUUCAAUAACCUAAUGUCAGAAGUACCAUAACAUCACUUCUGACAUAUGCUAUUUAUUGGCUACACAGACCAAUCCUAGUAAAAUGUGGAGGAGACUACACAAAAGUGUGAAUUCCAGGAAGCGGGGCUUAUCAGGGACCAUCUUGAAGGGUAUCUACCAUACAGAGGCAGGCCAGCACAAAGGAAGCAUUUCUACUCACUCAGGACAGUUGUUACGGGAGCCCUGGUGGUGCAGUGGUUAUGCUCUCGGCUGUGAACCAAAAGAUCACUGGUUCCAACCCACCAGCCAUACGGUGGGAGAAAGAUGCUGUAGUCUUCUUCCGUAAAGAUUAUGGAAACCCUCUGGAACAGUUCUACUCUGUCCUGUAGGACGAUGAGUUGGAAUUGACUUCAUGGAAACAGAUUGUUUUUGGUUAAGAUAGCUGUUAAAAUCUGUUUCUGUGUGCCCACUGAAAGGGGUCAAAGAUUUUUAUCUGCUGGCAGCUGGGCCAUUGAUAGUGGUCUGCUUAGAGCCUUGGUGAAUGGCUGGGUGAGAGAGUCUUAAUUUCAAGAAUCUUGGGGAGGUGUGUACAACUCACAGUAGCAGGAAAUUCCAAAUAUAAGAUUUGAACCAUCCUUUUGAUCUUGUCUCUCUCUAGCUACAUAGCCUUAGCCUAAUAAACCUACUUCAUCCCUGAAUAUUUAUUGCACCCCGGGGCUACAAUAACUAAGUCAAACCUGUUGCCAACAAGUUGAUUCAGACUCAUAGAAACCCUACAGGACACAGUAGAACUGCCCCAUAGGGCUUCAAGGAGUGGCUGGUGGAUUCCAUCUGCCCACCUUUCAGUUAGCAGCUAAACUCUUAACCACUGUGCCACCAGGACUCCUGGGCAUACAAAAGUGAACAAUGUAGAAGGGAUUUUGACUUUUACAGAACUUUCAGUGUGGUUAGGUGAGAUACAGAUUAAACAACUAAUUUCACAGGUAGUCAUUAAAAAAAAAAAAAAUUAAAAAAAUUUUUUUUUCUUUUCAUUUAAUUACCAUUGUGAUAAUGGCAACUUUUUUUUUCCUGAAUGCAUGGAAAGUGUCAGCUCCUGGUCUGGGAUACGAGGUCACCUUGGAGCAGAUCUUCAGAGGCCUCUUAGUUAUGCAAAGGUAAAAUGAGAGAAUAACAGUUACCUUGGCUUUAGAAUACAACAAGGCCUUUGGGGAGGGGGGAGAGGGACAUUGCUUGCACACUCUGAUUCCUUUAUUGAUGUGAUGAACUCUACACAUGAUCUCACAUAACUUAACCUUCAGGUUCUGGGAGUCUUAUAAUUAGAGAAGUUUGUUUCUGUUCAGGACGCAAUUUCUGCUUUAGUCAGUAAAAAAAAAAAAAAAAGUAGGCACAUUUAAAAAAUGAAUUAAUAAUCCAUGAAAGAUAUUGAUGCUUGGACAAUUAGUUUAUUUAAUAUUUCAUAGGUUUCACAUGCUGUACUUUGUUCGUAUUAAAAAACCAAACUCAGUUGAAAUUUUAGUCUUUUUUUAGUUCAUUAAGUUUUUAUCACAAACUUUAUGAGUUUAUUGGUUAUAAUUCUUGCUUUCUUCUGUGAUUGUGUCAUGAUCAUGCCUGAAGUUGUCAUCUUUUGAUUGAGAUAGUUUUUGUGUACUUAGCAUAGGAGGAAUGUUUCCACAUCUUGAAAUAAAUAUACUUUUCACAUUUUUAUUCAAACACAGAUGCUUGGUCUAUCUUUCAUUCUCCCAUGUAAGAGACAUGUGUAAACAUGUGUAAAGAAAUAGCUCACUCCUCUUGACUCUUCAAAAGGAAAAAUAACAGUGCAGCCGUAGGGAUAAGUAGCAACUGACACUUGACUUCAAGGUAGGACGCCACCAGGGGGUGGCAGGGACGGUGGCAAACUGGAGGGCGUGUGCCUCGUCUAAAGGAGCAGCUGCUGUUCUGCUUCAGCCCAUUUUUCCCAUUUGAGAAUGUGAGCCCAGUUUUGGAAGCUCUUCCAAUUUUCUGGAGAAGCUAUAACUCUAUAUCUUUAUGUGAAAUCUCCUAGCAUUUAGAAGUCAAUCUUAAAACAAACAAGAAAAAAAAACAAAAAACCAGCAUUGUUUGAGUCAAAUAAAACACAUCUGCAGACUGAAUUUGACUUGUGGGCUGCCACAAACUGGGGACUAAUAGUACGUGGGAAAGACCAGCACAGUUACCAGAAGUUGCAGCAUGGUGUGAUGGUUUGGGAAAUGAUGGCUCUGCACGUGAGGGUAAACCCUGUCUGGGACACUGUUAAAUUCUGUAAAACCUGAAUCAACAAGAAUGAGGCAGCUGCUAUGGACACGUUUUAUCCAUCGAAGUCUUUAGGACCAGUCCUGUGUAGUGAUGCCAACAGUGAGAAGUGAUGCAUUGGCUGGCUAUACAAACUAAUCACCUUUUGGACUGAUUAAGCUUUUUUUUUAAGCUGCAGUGUGCCUGGACAAUUUAGGGCAAAACCUCAAGAAGGCGAUAGUGAACUUCCUUCUUAAUGGCGUUGGUGACUUCUUGGGCAGUUAAUUGAAGGGAGAGAGAGAGAGAAUGAGAGAAAAGAGAGAAGGGGGAUAAGGGAGGGGAAGGAGUGGAGACAGGAGAGGGAGGGAAGAAGAUGAGAGGUGACAAAUGCCACAAAGGAGACAGGAGAGGGAGAGAAGGAGAUGAGAGGUGACAAGCGCCAUGAAGGUGGGAAGCCUCACUGUGAAAAUGAGUUAAAGCUGAGAUAUGAAAGGUGAGAAGCAGUUAACCAGGCAAACGGCAGGGAAAGAGACUCCAGGUAGAGGGAACAGUAUUUGUGCUGGCCUCGAGGUGGAAAGGUCAUGGUGUAUUUGAGGAAACCAAAAACACACAGAAAGAGGGUGGUAUUGUAAAGGGUCUUAAAGGCCAUGUUAAUUAUGUGGACCUUCAGUCCUGAGAUAAUGUUAAUAGGAACAUGAAUGAUCAGAUUAGUGUUUUCAUUUUUAAGUAGACUUUUUGUUGAAGUAUAACAUAUGUAGAGAACAGAGACAAAUUAUAAGUGUGCAGCUUGGUGAAUUUUCACAAAGUCAGCACACCCGUGUAACCAGUACCCAAAUCAACAAACAGAAGCCCCAGCACUCCAGAAUUCCCUCAGUCAUUAUCUCUGUUUCCCCAGGGUUACCAGUAUCUUGACUUCCAACCUUCACACAUCAAUUUUGAACUUUCUGUAUAUGGAAUUAUAAAGUAUGUAGUUUUUGGUUUCUGAUUUACUUUUCUCAACAUCAUGUCUAUGAGAUUUAUUCACAUUGCUGCACAUUUUAGCUCUGUUGCUUCUAGGGUUCCAGUGCAUCUUUUCCACUGUAAUGGACACUUGGGUUGUGUACGCAUUGGUGUUAUUACAAACAAUGCUGCAAGGACUGUUUCUGCAUGUGUUACUUGGUGAACAUAGUGUAUGUAUGGAUUUCUGUUGGGUAUAGUUAAUGUUUUAAAAGGACAUUGCAGUAUCUGUGGGCGGUAUAGAGGGAAAGCAAGAGCAGACGUGGAGAAACAUGGAGAAUCUAUUGUAGUAGUCCAGUUACUGAGGUGAUGGCGGCUCAGACUAAGGCGGUGGCAGUGAUGAUGGCAAAUUGAUGGACGACAGAGGAAUUUAGGAGCAUUGUCAAGACUAAGCUGCUGAUUGGAUAUAGAGGAUGAAAGAGGGGCAGAUGUCAAUAAUAAUUCCAAGGUUUUUGGCCUGUUCAGUGUGGAAAUUGGUAUUUAAUUCAUUGUUAAGCUGUUCUGGUUUUAUUAACUUUGAUGUAAUUUGUGGAAGUAUAUGAGUUCUGCUUGAAUGCAGAACUGUGAAUUAAAAAAAAAAAAGGAAUGAUUUUAGAAAGUCAACUAAAAUCCGGCAUAAUUAUUUGCAUACAAUUUUUACAGAUUAAAAACUUGUUCAAAUAACAGGUAGAUGGAGAAGGACUACAUUUCUGUUCCUAAAGGAAUUCAAGCAUUUUCACUUCCGUCAUGGGUUGAUAGAGAUUGAGUUAUUUUGCUUGAUGACUGGAUAUUGUGUAAAAUGAAUUGUUCUUAAUUCAAUUUCUUAUAGACCAAUGCUUCCAUCCCACAAAUCGCUAUUGCAGUAGCUACCUUAUUGGCAGUCUUAGCAAGGAAGGGCUGAAGCUGAAUGAGCAAAAACUCAACCAUAGAUUUCUUCCUGAGCAUGGAUCUGAAUACAGGUUGUGAUGCUAAGUAGAAAGCAGUAUGGGGACUUCCACUACCUUAGUUGUUAAAAUAAGAAUUUUGUUUUCACAACAUCAAAACUACAAUCGACCUCUUACUAAAACACAGGAUAAUAAGAAAUAUGUGUUGCAGAGAUUCGUAGAGUUGCAUUUAAUGCUACAUUAAAAUAAUUUGAUGUACUUAAAUUUUUUUCUGUGCUUUCUCUUUUAAAAUUAUAAUAUAUUGUCUAUGGAAAAAGAAAAUAGCUAAAUUUAAAGCCAGGUGAAACCCGUGUUUUAUAUGUCAAUGAUUUUAUUCCAAUAGUAUGAUACUGUCAUUGAAAAAAAUUCUGAUUUUCCUUAUCUUUAAGUCUUGCAGCUGGUUGUGAUUUAACGUCAUGACACUUUAUUUUUAUUGUAUUAGUAAUCUACUCUUUUGUCUAUGAUACAAAGUUCUUACUUCGCCCCGGAGAAUUUUCUGUACGAUUCCUGUGUUUCUUUUCACUGAUAUGGCCCCCUGGAGAGAGUACUGGGUACCAGGGAAGACAUGAGUAUGGAAAACCUGGUCUUUACUCCCAUAUCCCCCAGUGUUAUAAGUAUGGUGAGGAUACAACCCUAACACACACCUUUUCUUAAUUUAAACCAUGCAGUAUCCCCUUGUUAUGUUCAAACAGCUGCGUCUUGAUCUAUGUACAGGUUUGCAUGAGCACAGUUGAAUGUUCUGGAAUUCCCAAUCUUUGCCAUGUUAACCAUAAUUUGUUAUGAUCCACAUAGUCGAUGCCUUUGCAUGGUCAAUAAAACACAGGUAAAGAUCUUUCUGGUAGUCUCUACUUUCAGCCAAAUCCAUAUGACAUCAGCAAUGAUACCCUCGUUUCACAUCCUCUUCUGAAUCUUGCUUGAAUUUCUGGCAGUUCUCUGUUAAUGUAUGGCUACAGCUGUUUUUGAAUUAUCUUCAGCAAAAUUUUGCUUGCGUGUGAUAUUAAUGAUAUUAUUUGAUAAUUUUUGCAUUCCAUUGGAUCACCAUUCUUUGGAACUUUGGAAUGGGCAUGAAUAUGGAUUUCUUCUAGUCAGUUAGCCAGGUAGCUGUCUUCCCAAUUUCUUUAUAUACAUAUAGAUCGAUCAAUCUGUCUGUCUGCCUAUCUAGCUGUCUAUACCUAACAGCAUUAGGAUUGGAGGAAGACUCAUUAACAACCUGUGAUUUGCAAAUGACACACCUUUGCUUGCUGAAAGUGAGGAGGACUUGAAGCACUUACUGAUGAAGAUCGAAGGCUACAGCCUUCAGUAUGGAUUACAAAUCAACAUAAAAAAAAAAAACCCUCACAACUAGACCAGUGAGUACCAUCAUGAUGAAUGGAGAAAAUAUCGAAGUUGUUGAGGAUUUAAUUUUACUUGGAUCCACAGUCAACACCCAUGGAAGCAAUAGUCAAGAAAUCAAACGAUAUAUAGCAUUGGGCAAAUCUGCUGCAAAAAAAUCUCUUUAAAAUCUUAAAAGGCAAGGAUGUAACCUUGAAGACUAAAGUGUACCUGACCCAAGCCAUGGUAUUUCAAUUGCCUUAUAUGCAUGCAAAAGCUGGACAAUGAAAAAGGAAGAAUGAAGAAGAAUCAACACCUUUGAGUUAUGGUGUUGACGAAGAAUAUUGACUACCAUCGUUAUGGAUUGAAUUGUAUAUCCCAGAAAUGUGUGUCAGCUUGGCUAGACCAUGAUUCCCAGUAUUGUGUUUUUCUCAUCUGAUGUGAUUUUUCUAUGUGUUGUAAAUCCUACCUCUAUGAUGUUAAUGAGGUAGGAUUAGCAUCAGUUAUGUUAAUGAGGCAGAACUCAAUUUACAAGAUAAGAUUGUAUCUUAAGUCAAUCUCUUGAGAUAUGAAAGAGAAAUGAGCAGAAAGACAUGGGCACCUCAUACUAUCAAGAAAGCAGUGCUGGAAAUGGUGUGCAUCCUUUGGACUCAGGGUCCCUGUGCUGAGAAACUCCUAGACAAGGGGGAGAUUGAUGGCAAAGACUUUCUCCCAGAGCUGACAGAGAGAGAAACCCUUCCCCUGGAGCUGACUCCCUGAAUUUGAACUUUUAGCCUCUAGACUGUGAGAGAAUAAAUUUUUGUUUGUUAAAGCCAUCCUCUUGUGGUUUUUCUGUUAUAGCAGCUCUAGACGACUAAGACAACCAUAGACUGUCAGAAGAAUGUAAAAUCUGUCUUGGAGGAAGUACAGCCAGAAUGCUUCUUAGAGAUGAGAAUGAUGAGACUUCAUCUCACUUACUUUGACAUGUUAUCAGGAGGGACGAGUAUCUGGAGAAGGAUAUCAUACUUGGUAAAGAAGAGGGUCAGGGAAAAAGAGGAAGACCCUCAAUGAUUGGAUUGACAUAAUGGUUGCAACCAUGGGCUCAAUCAUACCUACUAUUAUGAGGAUGGUGCAGGACCGAGUAACAUUUCAUUCCGUUUUCCAUGAGGUCCCUAUGAGUUGGAGCCAACUCGAUGGUACCUCACAACAACCACCUCCAGUUUUAAAUAUACUUCAUACAGAAAGUCAGAAUAGUAUUAAAAAUUUAAAUUGUCUUGUUCUAUAAAAGGUCUGAUGAAGUGUCCAAUAUGCUGUUAUUGCACAUGUGAUACAGGGUUCGUUUCUCAGCAGGGUUGUAUAGUGUUAAAAGCAUUAUAUUACAGAUCAGGAAACCUGGGUAGUAAUUCCAGGAUCUCACUUUCUAGUAAUCUAAUAUAACAAUUCUGUUAGUUUCCUUAAGCCUCAGUUUCCCCAUCUAUAAAUCAUGAUAGUAGUAUCUGUUCUGCAGUUCUGGUGGGGUUGUUGUGAACAUCAAACGAGAUACUAAGAUGUAUUUUGAAAAAUUGAAAUGUACUCUAUGAAUGUACCAUGAAAUUGAUAUUUUAUAAUAAUGACUUGUAUUAGUUGAAUUGUUUUGACUGCCUGCAACAAAUUAACAGUGGCUUGAAAAAGAUUGAAUUUUCUGUCUCUUCCUUGGAACAGUAUGAUCUGCACAGUUAUCAGGAUCAGUCUUCUUUUAUCUUGUUGUUUUGCAGUCCCUAGGCAUUUGCUAUCAUUUGUGAGGUCAAAGGUGGUUUAUCACCUUGUCCAAGUUCCAGCCAGUAGCAUGAACGAAGCAAGAGGAAUGGAAGGGCCAUUCCUUUCCUUUAAAAGACACACAUCACUUCCUCCCACAUGCCAUUCAUAGAACGAACCCACAGGGCCUUAUCCAGCUGCUGGGGAGGCUGGGGAAUGUGGUGUUUAUUCUGGCAUUCAUCUAUCUACUUAGUUAAAAAUUAUAGGCACUACUACCACAUAAAGAGGGGCCAACAGAUAUUGGGGUACAAUUAGAAAACUGUCACAUGAAUUGAGAAGAAUAACAUUAGGUCUUUAACUUUUAACCUUAAAAGAUAUAUGUUAGAACAGCACUGUCACAUUUAAUAUCUAAUAUCUAAAAAGAAACAAAGAACCCGAAACCCGUUGCUGUCCAGUUGAUUCCGACUCAUAGCGGUACUCUGCGUUAAAGUGUAGAACUGUUUCAUAGGGUUAUCUUGGCUGUAAUCUUCAUGGGAUCAGAUCACCAGGCCUACCUUCUGUGGCACCACUAGGUGGGUUCGAAAUCCUAACCUUUAGGUUAGUAGUUGAGAACAAACUAUUUGCGCCACACAGAAGUGAUAAAGAAACAGAUGAAUGUAAUUUUAAAAAUAAUUUUUCUUUAUCCCAGUAUAUCCAAAAUAUUUUAUUUCAUAUGCAAUCAAUAUAAAAUUAUUAAUGUGAUAUUUUACAUUUUUUCUAUAUUACAUCUUUGAAAUCAAGUGUAUAUUUUCCAGUUACAUCUCAUCUCAGUUUAAAUUUGCCACAUUUGAUGAACUCAAUAGCCACAUGUAUAUUGGGCAAUGCAGCUCUAGGAAGAAGUAUUGACAAAUGUUAUAUGGUAACAAUGGAGGAGAAUAAACCUUCUUCCUUAUUUCCUGUUGUUUUACAUUUCACAUAAUUUUCAGUUUAUUUAUUCAGUCAAAAAAUACUAAGUACCUUCUAUAUCCUAGACACUGUACUAGGCACUCAGGAUACAACCGUGAACAAAACUAACAAUGUCCCUGUGCUAAUGGAGCAUAUAUCCUAGUGGGGGAGAGUCACACAAAAAAUAAACAAGUAGAUAUUUAGCAUAUGUGAUGGUUAAGGUUGUGUGUCAGCUUGGCUGGGCCGUGAUUCUCAGUGGUUUGGCAGUUACGUAAUGAUGUGGUUUGGCAGUUAUGUUAUGAUGUAGUCAUCCUCCAUGAUGUGAUCUGAUGUGAUCACCCAAUCAGUUAUAAGGGGAGUUUCCUCAGGAGUGUGGCCUGUAUCCAGUAUGUAUAUAGAUGUUCUGGCUAAGCUUGCAUACUUGCUCUUCAUCCUGCAUCUGGCUUGUCAUCAUCUGACCUCCAGUUCUUGAGACUUGAGCCAGCAACCUGCUGUAUUGCCUGCUGAUCCUGGGAUUUGUCGACUUCUGCAGCCUAUGAGCCAGCAGCCAGUCACCUUACCUGCCAGUCUUGGAUUCAGCGGCCUGCUGUCUGAUCUGCCAAUCUUGGGUUCAUCAGCCCCGGCAGCUACAUGAGUCUGGAGAAGCCUCCAGCCUGAUGCCUGACCCAUGGACUUGGGACUUGCCAGCCUUUAUAACUGUGUUAUGCUGAUGAAGAAGAAUCAGCAAAAGGGACAGAAAAAGAGUGGCUGGUAAGGUAAGAGGAGAAUCAAGAGCGUGUUGAGUAGCAAAACCAAUGAAGAGUGUGUCAAGAAGGUGUAAGUAGUCAAUUUUUAUAGUUGUGUAAGAAGAAAGUCAAUUAAGAACAAAGGCAAAAACUUACUUUUAGUUUUAGCAACAUGGAAGUCAUUGGUGGCCUUGACAAAAGUUAUUCUUGGGGACUGGAUGGUUCAAGAAAGAAAGCUGUUUCAACAGUUUGCUAUCUGUGUCCUUAUAUGUAUAUAUUUGGUCAACUGUUCAGUUGUUUCCUUAGGACUUAUUCAUAAGUUGAAUCACUAGGCCAAAGCAUAGAUGCAUAUGUCAUGUGAAUAAGAAUAUGGAGAACGUAGCAAUCAGAGUUCAGAAAGAUUCACAGGGUCGUGGAAAUGCACUGUAUUCACACACAAUCAGGCAUGGGCUAUUUGAGAAAGACAUAGGGAUAUGUUUUUAAAUACAGAUCCAGAAAGGAGACAGGUCCAGAGCCUUGCUCCAAUCAGUGGACAUUACCCAUGCUCAAUGGCAUUCCAAGUAGUAGGUAAAGGCCCAGGUGGGCAGGUGCUUGGUUUCAUGGCAUCCAGCUAAGAAGUAAUGCUUUCAAGAGUUAAAAACUCCAGCUGCUGGGAGUGCCGGGUACUCAUCUAUAAGGGAACAAAGCAGAAGCCCAGUUACUAAGACUCAUAGUUCAGGGCAGGGACCUAGGAACCAGGGACAGAGCUUGACCAGCCACAAGACAAGGGCCACUUAGCGUAUGAUAUCCCCAAGCCUAGAGUUUCAGUGGGGUCAAAAUUGUUGGUAUGAGUAAAGUAGUUCUAGUUGGGAAAAUAUGAGGAAGUACUGCAGCAAAGAGCUAUCAUCCUUGCACAAGAUUUAAAUAUAAGUAACGAGGACAGAAAAUAUCAUGGCACAAAUAGCACCAAUACGUUACCAAUAUAUAAAGGAUUAUUAAUAAGGAGUCCUGGUGGCACAGAUGGUUAAGCAUUUGACUACUAAACAAAAGGCUGGCAGUUUGAACCCUCCCAGCAGCUCCACAGGAGAAGGACCUGGCAAUCUGCUUCCAUAAAGAUUAUAGCCAAGAAAACCCUAUGGGGCAGUUCUACUGUGCUGUAUGGGUGGCUGUGAGUCGAAGUCCACUCGAUGGCACCUAAGAACAACAACGAAAACAACUGUGUCUUAAUAAGGUUUUCGUACCCUAAACUUCCAAAAUAGAUACUGGGGUCAGGGUUCUAUAAAAUGCAGUUACAAUUAGGGCUAAGUUCAAGGUUCUUGACUGAAGUAAAAAAUGCUGAUUAUAUAUAAAGAUCACUAGGACAAACCAAAAAAAACCAAACUCAUUGUCAUUGAGUCAAUUUUGACUCAUAGUGAGCCUAUAGGACAGAGUAGAACUGUCCCAUAGGGUUUCCAAGGAGUGGCUAGUAGAUUUGAACUUCUCUUUUUGGUUAGAGCCAAGUUCUUAACCACUAUGCCACCAGGGUUCUCAAUCCUGGAUGCACAUUAGAAUCACUGGAGUUGCUUUAAAAAAUCCUAAUGUACCAGCCUCACUGCAAAUCAGUUAAAAUCAUAAUCUGGGGAGUUGGAUCCUUCAAGCAGUAGUGGUAUUUAAGCUGCCAUAGUGAUUCCAGCAGAGUCCCUGGGGGUUAUAAAAGGUUAAUGCACUCAGCUGCAAUUUUACAUUCAGGAGAAAAGAAAAUGGUGAAAAACAGGUGUAUGAUCAGAGAAGUAACUUACAAGUUCUGUCAUUAUUGGUAUCAUGUAUGAAUUUAUAAUACUAGAUAAAAAGAAGUCAGAGAGUUACUGUGAGGAGCUUAUGUUUUGAGAUGUGUUUUUUAAUUAGUGUAUUUUGUACAUUUCUCUUCUUUUAUGCUUUAUAUACAGAAUAGAGCUUUCUAGGUAGUUUCAGAUAUAUAAAACCCAUUGUUGAGUUGAUUCUGACUUGUAGCGUCCCUAUAAGACAGAGUAGAAUUACCUCAUAGGGUUUCCAAGGCUGUAAAUCUUCAAGGAAGCAGACUGCCACAUCUUUCUCCCACGGAACAACUGGUGGGUUUGAACCGCUGACCUUUCAGUUAGCAGACAAGCACUUAACAAUUGUGCCACCAGGAAUCCUUUUCAGAUAUAUAUUAAUAAUAAUAAUGAACAAUUAUUGAGUACUUACUACAUAUACGUGAGAAACUAAGGCACAAAACAGUAAUAUAGCUUGUUCAAGGUCAUUUAUUAGGUAGAAAAUCCAGAAUUUGAAUCAAGCAGAAUUUUACUGCAGAUCAUUGUGGUAUGCUGAGUCUCAUCUACAGCCUUUAUUAAAGAGCCCAUGAGAAAUAAUAGGACAUGAAUCUAAAAGUAUUAAAACUUUGAGUUUCAAUAUUCCUCUGUGUGAUAAUUUUGCCAUUUAUCUUUUCUGACAAUGAUACAUGCAUGGAUAAAACUUGAUCGGGAAGGAGAUCUUUUGUUGGAAAAAAAUUGAAGGGAAAGAACAUUCAAGGGUGUGAAGCUCUUCUGAAGAAGGAGUUGAAUGAAAACUGAGGAAGGUCUUCAAGUCUUUGGUGGAAUAAAUGUCAGAAGGUUAGAUUCCUACUAAAAUAAAAUUUUCAAACAUAUAGAUUUGUUAUUAUGUGCCAAAGUUUAACUUAAUGGAGGAACCAGCCAGAAGACAGAGGAGGGUGUUUCAAAAGGUGUUGAGGGAUUCCUGUUGGUAGCCAUCCGAUUCAGCCCUCAAUUCAUGGUGCAUAAAAUUGUUGGGGAAAUGAUUGCCUAAAUAAAAUUGCUGAAUUGCCUAUAAGACUUAUUCCCCCCUUUUUUUUUUACUUGUACACCAAUGUUCACUGCAGCAUUAUUCACAAUAGCCAAAAGGUGAAAACAACCCAAAUGUCCAUCAACAGGUAAAUGGAUAAACAAAAGGUGGUAUAUCCACACAAUGGAAUAUUAUUCAGCCAAAAAGAGAAAUGAAGUUCUGAUACGUGCUACAACACAGAUAAACCUUAAAAACGUUAUGCUGAGUAAAAUAAGUCACACUCAAAAAAGUCAAAUAGUAUAUGAUUGCAUUUAUAUGAACUGUCCAGAAUAGACAAAUACAUGAGACCAAAUUUUAUCAGUGGUUAGCAGGGUGGGCUGGAGGCGGAAAUGAGGAGGUAUUGCUUUAGUGGUAGUUAAGGGUGAUGAAAAAGUUUGGUAACACAGAGUGGUGAUGGUUGCACAUACAUAAUUAAUGCCAUUGAAUUGUACACAUAAAAAUGGUUGAAAUAGCAAAAAAAAAAAAAAGAUAUUUCCUGGCUACCAUUACUCAACAUUUUGAUCAAAGAGUCUAUAGAAGAAUCCUGAUCAAAAGGGGGGAAAAGGCAAAACAGAAUUUCAAAUUCUUAUGGAAUCUGGGCUUUCUGGAGCUUGAAGGGAAAUGAGCCGCUGAAACUAUUGCCCUGAAAUCAUCUUUAAACCUUAAACUAAAAAUACUCCCCGAAGUCUUCUUAAAACCAAACAAUAGUUUAGCUUAGCUAGUAAAGAACAUUUGCCUUGAGCGUUGUUCUCUUCUAAGAUCUAUUUAUACAGGAUCAAAUUGACAACAGCAACUUGAAAGAUUAUAUAGGAACCUUAGGGGGCAGUGAGUUUAUAUUAGUGGGGGAGGGACAACUCGGAAAAGGAGGGUGAGAAUGGCUGCACAACUUGAAGAACGUCAUCGAUGACACUGAAUUCACAUGUAGAAAAUAUUGAAUUGGUGUAUGUUCUGCUGUGUAUAUUCUCAACAACAAAAAUAAAAUAAAUUAUUUAAAAAAAGAAAAUCCAGAAUUGGGUCUUCACCAAUCUGAUAGGAGAGAAAUGGCAUCCAGUUAUUUAAAUUUGCAUUUCUUUGAUCAUUAAUGAUUGAAUAGUUUCCUUUGUCAUUGUGUGCUUUGCUCACUUGUCUCCUUUGGGUGUUGGUGGUUUCUUUCUUAUUGGUUGGUAAGACCACUAACCUUUUGUCAUAUUUGUCACAAUCAUUUUAUUCUAUGUUGUUACCUGCUUUUUAAGAUUUCUAUUUGCAGUGUUUUUUGGCACACUGAAGUUUAACGUUUUUUAAUUGUCUUAGUUAUCUAGUGCUGCCAUAACAAAUAUACCACAAGUGGGUGGCUUUAACACACAGAAAUUUAUUUUCUCACAGUUUAGGAGGCUAGAGGUCUGAAUUCAGGGCGCUGGCUCUCGGGGAAGGCUUUAUCUCAGUUCACUUUGGGAGAAGGUCCUUAUUCCUUGGCUCCUUGGUGAUCUUCGUGUUGCAUGGCAUCUAUCCUCUCCAUCUCUGCUUGCUCUGCUGUCCUAAUCUGCUCCUUUUGUAUCUCAAAGGUCAUUGGCUUAAAACACACCCUACACUGAUAUGGCCUCUGUAACAUAACAAAGAAAACCCAUUUCCAAAUGGGAUGAUAACCAGAAAUAUAGAAAUUAGGAUUUACAGCAUAUUUGAACUAAAAAAAAAAAAAAAAAAAAAAUUGGGGGGGGGACAUAAUUUAAUUUGUUACAUUAGUAUUCUAUACAGUGGAAUAUUGUUCAGCCAUAAAGAGAAAUGAAGUUCUGAUACAUGCUAUGACAUGAAUGAACCCUAGAACAACCUCCAAUAACUCCAUGGAGUUGAUCCCAGUUUAUAGAUGAUGAAAAGAGGUUUAGCACCUCCAGUUUUAUAGGAAACUGAUUCCGGCCUGAGCGUUUGGCUAAGGUCCUUAAAGAGGUGAUGGUUUUUCUGUGUGCAGUUUAAUAUGCACAGCAUUUUGCCCAUGUCCUUGUUUCUGAUAAGCAGUGGUGGCUAUGUUUUAAAAGUCCUGGAAUUAGGGUUGUGCGAUGAUGAUGGGCUUUUGUUUUUGUCCUCUGAGCUCUUCUGUGUAUUCCUAGGUUUUAUGGGCAAGACUUUUUUUUUAUUAAGCUAUAACACCUUAAAAGUUAAGUUUCUUUAGUGUUAUAAAAUUUUGUUAAGUGUUUGUGUGAGUUAAGCAUUUGUUAGCCUUACAGAGUUAUAAAAUUCAUUGCACCCUUACUGCUGUUAGAAUGCUGUUCAAAUAUACCAAGACAACAAAAUUGUAUUCACCAGGUGUCUCCAGAACAAAGUUUCACUAAUUCUUUGGCUUAUUAGAAACUGUUCUAGGGUGAUAUGAAAAGUUGAAGCAAUCAGAAUUUUAUCUUUGCCGCAGUUUGUUCAUGUGUUUUAAAUUUCUCGUAUCGUAAUAGGAGUUCCUUUAUCUCCUGUCAUAAUAAAUCUCAACAGGUAAAUAUAAACCAUUUCUCAAAAAAAAAAAAAAAAAACCAAAGAAAGACACAAACGUGUCCACUGCAUAUUUUUCAUUUUUUAGAACAGUUUAAGAUUUACAGAAAUUUUGAGCAGAAAGUACAGAGUUUUCACAUACCACCCAGUUUUCCUUAUUAUUAGUAUCUUACAUUAGUAUUGUACAUUUCUUACAAUUAUUGAACCAAUUGUUGAUACAUUAUUAUUGACUAAAUUCUAGAGUUUAUUCAGAUUUCAUUAGUUUUUAUCUAAUGCCCUUUUUCUGUUCCAGGAUUCCAUCCAGGAAUACUACAUUACAUGUAGUUGUCGUGUUGUCUCAGUUUUCUCUUUGACAGUUUCUCAGUAUUUCCUUGUUUUUAAUGACCUCAAGGGUUUUGAGGAGCACUGGUCAGGUUUUUGUGUGGACGUGAGUUUCAACUCAACUGGAUAAAUGCCUAGGCACGCAAUUGCUGCACAGUAUGUCAUUAAGAGCUACGGCAGCUAACCAAAAAGUCGGCAGAUUCAAUCCACGAGGCGCUCCUUGGAAACCAUAUGGAGGGGCCUACUCUGUCCUAUAGAGUUGCUAUGAGUCGGAAUCAACUUGAUGGCAACAGGUCUUUGCUGCAAAAGGACAAUGUGGUGCAUCUGACUAGUUUGCCAUCUCGGCCAUCACUCAACACUUCGUCUUGAUUGCUGUAGUUUUAUAUGAAAUCAUGCGGUUCUAGGAGGCUAGAAGUCUGCACUCAGGAUGCCAGCUCCAGGGGAAGGUCCUUAUCACCAAUCUUCGCCAGUUGAGGAGCUUCUUAACACAGGGACCCCAGGUCCGAAGUACGCGAUAUUCUCCUGGCUCUUGUUUCUUGGUGGUAUGAGGUCCCCAUGUCUUUCUGCUUGCUUCUCUCUUUUAUAUCUCAAAAGAGAUUGACUUAAGACACAACCUAAUCUUAUAGAUUGAGUCUUGCCUCGUUAACGUAACUGCCUCUAAUCCUGCCUCAUUAAAAUCAUAAAGGUAGGAUUUACAACACAUCGGAAAGUCACAUCAGAUGACAAAAUGGCAUACAAUCACACAACACUGGGAAUCAUGGCCUGGCCAAGUUGAUACACAUUUUUGGGGGACACAAUUCAAUCCAUGACAAAGGUCUACUCAAGUCCUUUGCACAUUUUAUGAUUGAGUCAUUUGUCUUUUUGUUGUUAAGUGGUCUACGUUUUAUAUAUAUUUCGGUAAUUAGAUUCUUACUGGCUAUAUGGCUUCCUAAGAUAUUCUCCCAGUCGAUAGCUUGCAUUUUCACUCUUUUGGUAAAAUGUUAUUUAACUUUUUAAACUCAAUUUCCUCAUCUAAAAAAUGGGUAUCAUAAUGCUUAUCUCAUGGGGUUGUUUUUAAGGAUUGACAUUCUUAGUUAUCUGUAAUCUCUGGUGGCUUUAGUUAUUAUAAAUUUUUUACUGAGAAUCUGGUAGUCUCUAGGUAUACUGAAAAAUAUCUUUCUGAUACGGCA